CGUUCGUCAAGUCGCAUUUUUAAUGCGCAACUACGGUUUCCGUUUUCAUUUCCGCAAAGCAUGAGAGGAAACGCCGAAAGCAACAUGAUGAACAUUUUGCUUUGAGCAAAGCGGAGGAAAUAUGAAGCACUGUACCGGAUAAAGUGUUGAAAACAGAAGUAAAUGUUUAAGAAAUGGGACAUUUUUUCUUACGUCAUCCUACAAAAAUAGAUGCUUUGUUCUGUGAAAAGUCCUCUUUGACAUAUACAGUAUAUUGAAAUAUCCGACAAUGUCAUAUAAUUACCAGUUAAUAAUCCGAAAGUGUAUAAUUUAAUGUGCAAUACGAGUUGUGUUCUGUGUGUGUUCAUAAAUAUGCUAUAAACCCCAAUUUGUAUAUCAAUAAAAUAAAUUGUGUGCACUGAAAAAUUGUGAUCGAAUAUAGAGUAAAAAUGUACGGUGUA
Molecule: non-coding RNA, 440 nt
Organism: Lepisosteus oculatus (spotted gar)
Lineage: Eukaryota; Metazoa; Chordata; Actinopteri; Semionotiformes; Lepisosteidae
Source: RefSeq, a predicted model, not a curated record